RNAcentral lists this ribosomal RNA (463 nucleotides) under uncultured bacterium. Its description in RNAcentral is "bacterial SSU rRNA". It matches the Rfam family "Bacterial small subunit ribosomal RNA", at positions 331 to 792 of the family's 1533-position model. The record is from RNAcentral.
CCAGACUCCUACGGGAGGCAGCAGUGAGGAAUAUUGGUCAAUGGUCGGGAGACUGAACCAGCCAAGCCGCGUGAGGGAUGAAGGUACAGAGUAUCGUAAACCUCUUUUGUCAGGGAACAAAGGCGGGGACGUGUCCCCGGAUGAGUGUACCUGAAGAAAAAGCAUCGGCUAACUCCGUGCCAGCAGCCGCGGUAAUACGGAGGAUGCGAGCGUUAUCCGGAUUUAUUGGGUUUAAAGGGUGCGUAGGCGGAGUGUCAAGUCAGCGGUAAAAUUUCGGGGCUCAACCCCGUCGUGCCGUUGAAACUGACGCCCUUGAGUGAGUGAGAAGUAAGCGGAAUGCGUGGUGUAGCGGUGAAAUGCAUAGAUAUCACGCAGAACGCCGAUUGCGAAGGCAGCAUGCCGGCUCCACACUGACGCUGAGGCACGAAAGCGUGGGUAUCGAACAGGAUUAGAUACCCCUGUA